UACGGGGGGUGCAAGCGUUGUUCGGAAUCAUUGGGCGUAAAGAGCGUGUAGGCGGCUUGGUAAGUCAGAUGUGAAAGCCCUGGGCUCAACCCGGGAAGUGCAUUUGAAACUGCCAGGCUCGAGUAGGGGAGAGGGAAGUGGAAUUCCUGGUGUAGAGGUGAAAUUCGUAGAUAUCAGGAGGAACACCGGUGGCGAAGGCGACUUCCUGGCCCUAUACUGACGCUGAGACGCGAGAGCGUGGGUAGCAAACAGG
RNAcentral lists this ribosomal RNA (253 nucleotides) under uncultured bacterium. RNAcentral describes it as "partial 16S ribosomal RNA". It matches the Rfam family "Bacterial small subunit ribosomal RNA", at positions 524 to 776 of the family's 1533-position model. The record is from RNAcentral. RNAcentral also lists the same sequence under 1 other name.